This 77-nucleotide transfer RNA is filed under the name Comamonas aquatica. Its description in RNAcentral is "tRNA-Arg". It matches the Rfam family "tRNA". From Rfam's summary of the family: Transfer RNA (tRNA) molecules are approximately 80 nucleotides in length. Their secondary structure includes four short double-helical elements and three loops (D, anti-codon, and T loops). Further hydrogen bonds mediate the characteristic L-shaped molecular structure. tRNAs have two regions of fundamental functional importance: the anti-codon, which is responsible for specific mRNA codon recognition, and the 3' end, to which the tRNAs corresponding amino acid is attached (by aminoacyl-tRNA synthetases). tRNAs cope with the degeneracy of the genetic code in two manners: having more than one tRNA (with a specific anti-codon) for a particular amino acid; and 'wobble' base-pairing, i.e. permitting non-standard base-pairing at the 3rd anti-codon position. Lineage: Bacteria; Pseudomonadati; Pseudomonadota; Betaproteobacteria; Burkholderiales; Comamonadaceae. The record is from RNAcentral.
GCGUCAGUAGCUCAACUGGAUAGAGCUGCGGUCUUCUACAUCGUAGGUUGCGGGUUCAAGUCCUGCCUGACGCACCA